Eutrema salsugineum is the source of this 1355-nucleotide RNA transcript. It is a transcript of the gene named serine/threonine-protein phosphatase PP1 isozyme 1, with no coding region annotated. The transcript has 4 exons. NCBI's taxonomy places the organism in Eukaryota, Viridiplantae, Streptophyta, Magnoliopsida, Brassicales, Brassicaceae. The record is from RefSeq and is a predicted model, not a curated record.
UAAAAAGGACCAAUCAAUCAAAUCAAACUGACUCAUCUCCGGUCGUCUCCUCUCGCUCCUCGCGGCUCCAAAGGCAAAGAGCUCCACGCUUAAAGGUUCUUCAGUGAUCGGAGAUGGCGGAGAAGCCGGCGCCGGAGCAGGAGCAGAAGCGAGCGAUGGACCCGGCCGUUCUCGACGAUAUAAUUCGCCGUCUGGUUGAGUUUCGGAACACGAGGCCUGGAUCGGGCAAGCAAGUUCACCUCAGCGAAGGUGAAAUCCGUCAGCUUUGUGCUGUCUCCAAAGAAAUCUUUCUCCAGCAACCUAAUCUUCUCGAACUCGAAGCUCCCAUCAAGAUCUGCGGUGAUAUUCACGGGCAGUAUUCAGAUCUAUUGAGGCUUUUUGAGUAUGGAGGCUUCCCUCCUGAAGCCAAUUAUUUGUUCCUAGGUGAUUACGUAGACCGUGGAAAGCAAAGCUUGGAAACAAUAUGCCUUCUCCUAGCUUACAAAAUCAAGUACCCUGAGAACUUCUUCUUGUUGAGAGGGAACCACGAAUGUGCCUCCAUUAACCGUAUUUAUGGCUUCUACGACGAGUGCAAACGCAGGUUCAACGUCAGGCUCUGGAAAAUAUUCACAGAUUGCUUCAACUGUCUCCCUGUGGCUGCUUUAAUCGAUGACAGAAUACUAUGUAUGCAUGGUGGGAUUUCACCAGAGCUGACAAGUUUGGACCAGAUUAGGAACAUUUCACGCCCCAUGGAUAUUCCGGACUCGGGUUUGGUGUGUGAUUUGCUUUGGUCUGAUCCUAGUGGAGACGUCAAAGGCUGGGGGAUGAACGAUCGUGGUGUUUCAUACACUUUUGGAGCUGACAAAGUUGCAGAGUUUUUAGAGAAAAACGACAUGGACCUUAUCUGUCGUGCACACCAGGUUGUUGAAGAUGGAUACGAGUUCUUCGCGGAAAGACAGCUUGUUACGGUGUUUUCAGCUCCAAACUACUGUGGGGAAUUCGACAACGCUGGUGCAAUGAUGAGCAUUGACGAGAGCUUAAUGUGUUCAUUCCAAAUUCUAAAGCCGUCGGAUAAGAGAUCGCCGUUUCUAUGACAAGACUGAUUCCAUUUUUAUCACCAUGUUUUUUUAAAUGUAGGUGGUCUCCAAAAGCUGUACACUAGCGAGAGGAUUCUAGAGGCAGGAAACUGCUCAAUUGCGACCUUAGUGGUUCUGAUAAUAGAGCAUUAAGCAAACAAAAGAGACGGUCUCAAACAGUUUAACAACAACUCAGGUCUCCAUAUUUGUCUAAAGAUUGUGUUUUUUCUCUUUUCUCUGAAUACUAUUAGUUUCUCUUAUUUGUAACCUCGUAUUUAUUAUGAGAACCCAAAGUCAAAA